GUUCCUUUAGGGCAAUGGAUAGCCCGUUGGACUUCUAAUUUAAAGGUCAUGGGUUCGAAUCUUACAUGGGAUG
Molecule: non-coding RNA, 73 nt
Organism: Trichonephila clavipes
Lineage: Eukaryota; Metazoa; Arthropoda; Arachnida; Araneae; Nephilidae
Source: the annotation of a GenBank genome assembly